Planoprotostelium fungivorum is the source of this 73-nucleotide non-coding RNA. The record is from the annotation of a GenBank genome assembly. NCBI's taxonomy places the organism in Eukaryota, Evosea, Variosea, Cavosteliida, Cavosteliaceae.
GGCCGAGUGGCGCAAUGGAUAGCGCAUCGGAAUCCGGAUCCGGAGGUUGCGGGUUCAAGUCCCGUCUCGGUCG